AGCUGUCGAGGCGUGGCAGUUAACUGUAGGACAGACAACUCCCCCUUGAUCUGGAACAUUCUGUGUUGUGGUCAGAAAGGAGACGACCAAGGACAGGGCUGGGGAAUGUGAGGAACAUGGCUUGGGGCCUGAGCCUCGAACAACAGCAAUGAAAUUUGAUACGAGGCGGCUGCUCACGGGGUUUUUUGAGAGACCAUUGUUGGAAGGAUUGGUGAGUAUUUUCUAAGCCCCAUUGACUUCAGGGAAUC
This 248-nucleotide long non-coding RNA is filed under the name Mustela putorius furo (domestic ferret). Its description in RNAcentral is "lncRNA (ENSMPUG00000032043.1)". Lineage: Eukaryota; Metazoa; Chordata; Mammalia; Carnivora; Mustelidae. The record is from RNAcentral.